CCUACGGGAGGCAGCAGUGGGGAAUAUUGGGCAAUGGGCGCAAGCCUGACCCAGCAACGCCGCGUGAAGGAAGAAGGCUUUCGGGUUGUAAACUUCCUUUUAGAGGGAAGAGCAGAAGUCGGUACCUCUUGAAUAAGCUAUGGCUAACUACGUGCCAGCAGCCGCGGUAAUACGUAGGUGGCAAGCGUUGUCCGGAUUUACUGGGUGUAAAGGGCGUGCAGCCGGGAAGACAAGUCAGAUGUGAAAUCCCGCGGCUCAACCGCGGAACUGCAGUUGAAACUGUUUUUCUUGAGUACCGGAGAGGUCAUCGGAAUUCCUGGUGUAGCGGUGAAAUGCGUAGAUAUAAGGAAGAACACCAGUGGCGAAGGCAGAUGACUGGGCGGCAACUGACGGUGAGGCGCGAAAGCGUGGGGAGCAAACAGGAUUAGAUACCCUUGUAGUC
Molecule: ribosomal RNA, 442 nt
Filed under: uncultured bacterium
Lineage: Bacteria
Description: partial 16S ribosomal RNA
Rfam family: Bacterial small subunit ribosomal RNA
Source: RNAcentral